CACGGGGGUUGCGAGCGUUGUCCGGAAUUACUAGGCGUAAAGGGCAGGCAGGCGGAUCCAUAAGUUUAUCGUUUAAGGCGUCGGCUUAACCGGCGUAGGGCGGUAGAUACUGUGGAUCUGGAAUGCGGUUGGGGAAGACAGAAUUCCUGGUGUAGCGGUGGAAUGCGCAGAGAUCAGGAGGAAUACCGAAGGCGAAGGCAGUCUUCCAAGCCGUUAUUGACGCUCAACUGCGAAGGUGUGGGUAUCAGACAGGAUUAGAUACCCGGGUAGUCCCUGA
RNAcentral lists this ribosomal RNA (277 nucleotides) under uncultured prokaryote. Its description in RNAcentral is "partial 16S ribosomal RNA". It matches the Rfam family "Bacterial small subunit ribosomal RNA", at positions 524 to 800 of the family's 1533-position model. The record is from RNAcentral.